Molecule: ribosomal RNA, 406 nt
Filed under: uncultured bacterium
Lineage: Bacteria
Description: bacterial SSU rRNA
Rfam family: Bacterial small subunit ribosomal RNA
Source: RNAcentral
UUGGUCAAUGGGCGAAAGUCUGAACCAGCCAUGCCGCGUGAAGGAUUAAGGCCCUCUGGGUUGUAAACUUCUUUUAUAGGGGAAGAAAUGUGACGGUUCUCCGUCACUUGACGGUACCCUGGGAAUAAGCACCGGCUAACUCCGUGCCAGCAGCCGCGGUAAUACGGAGGGUGCAAGCGUUAUCCGGAUUCACUGGGUUUAAAGGGUGCGUAGGUGGGCAGAUAAGUCAGUGGUGAAAUCUUCCGGCUUAACCGGGAAACUGCCGUUGAUACUAUUUGCCUUGAAUAUUGCGGAGGUAAGCGGAAUAUGUCAUGUAGCGGUGAAAUGCUUAGAUAUGACAUAGAACACCAAUUACGAAGGCAGCUUACUACACAAUCAUUGACACUGAGGCACGAAAGCGUGGGUA